Nycticebus coucang (slow loris) is the source of this 163-nucleotide small nuclear RNA. RefSeq annotates it as U1 spliceosomal RNA. The record is from RefSeq and is a predicted model, not a curated record. Lineage: Eukaryota; Metazoa; Chordata; Mammalia; Primates; Lorisidae. The transcript has a single exon.
AUACUUAUAUGUCCAGGGAGAUACCAUGAUCAUGACAGUGGUUUUCCCAGGCAUGGAUCAUCCAUUGCACUCUGGGUAUGCUGACACCUGCAAUUUUCCCAAAUAUAAGAGACUAGACAGCAAAAUUUAUGGUGAUGGGCAACUAUAUUUGUGCUUUCCCCUA